GAUGAACGCUGGCGGCGUGCUUAACACAUGCAAGUCGAACGAUGAAGCCCAGCUUGCUGGGUGGAUUAGUGGCGAACGGGUGAGUAACACGUGAGUAACCUGCCCUUAACUCUGGGAUAAGCCUGGGAAACUGGGUCUAAUACCGGAUAGGAGCGCCUACCGCAUGGGGGGUGUUGGAAAGAUUUAUCGGUUUUGGAUGGACUCGCGGCCUAUCAGCUUGUUGGUGAGGUAAUGGCUCACCAAGGCGACGACGGGUAGCCGGCCUGAGAGGGUGACCGGCCACCCUGGGACUGAGACACGGCCCAGACUCCUACGGGAGGCAGCAGUGGGGAAUAUUGCACAAUGGGCGAAAGCCUGAUGCAGCGACGCCGCGUGAGGGAUGACGGCCUUCGUGUUGUAAACCUCUUUCAGUAGGGAAGAAGCGAAAGUGACGUUACCUGCAGAAGAAGCACCGGCUAACUACGUG
Molecule: ribosomal RNA, 466 nt
Filed under: uncultured bacterium
Lineage: Bacteria
Description: partial 16S ribosomal RNA
Rfam family: Bacterial small subunit ribosomal RNA
Source: RNAcentral